GAUGAACGCUGGCGGCGUGCCUAAUACAUGCAAGUCGAGCGAACAGACGAGGAGCUUGCUCCUCUGACGUUAGCGGCGGACGGGUGAGUAACACGUGGAUAACCUACCUAUAAGACUGGGAUAACUUCGGGAAACCGGAGCUAAUACCGGAUAAUAUAUUGAACCGCAUGGUUCAAUAGUGAAAGACGGUUUUGCUGUCACUUAUAGCUGGAUCCGCGCCGCAUUAGCUAGUUGGUAAGGUAACGGCUUACCAAGGCAACGAUGCGUAGCCGACCUGAGAGGGUGAUCGGCCACACUGGAGCUGAGACGCGGUCCAGACGCCUACGGGAGGCAGCAGUAGGGAAUCUUCCGCAGUGGGGGAAAGCCUGACGGAGCAACGCCACGUGAGUGAUGAAGAUCUUCGGAUCGUAAAACUCUGUUAUGAGGUAAGAACAAAUGUGUAAGGAACUAUGCACGUCUUGACGGUACCUAAUCAGAAAGCCACGGCUAACUACGUG
Molecule: ribosomal RNA, 497 nt
Filed under: uncultured bacterium
Lineage: Bacteria
Description: partial 16S ribosomal RNA
Rfam family: Bacterial small subunit ribosomal RNA
Source: RNAcentral